GACGUAGGAUGCGAGCGUUGUCCGGAUUUAUUGGGCGUAAAGAGCGUGUAGGCGGCUAGGUAGGUCCGUUGUGAAAACUCGAGGCUCAACCUCGAGACGUCGAUGGAAACCAUCUAGCUAGAGUCCGGAAGAGGAGAGUGGAAUUCCUGGUGUAGCGGUGAAAUGCGCAGAUAUCAGGAAGAACACCCGUGGCGAAGGCGGCUCUCUGGUACGUGACUGACGCUGAGACGCGAAAGCGUGGGGAGCGAACAGG
Molecule: ribosomal RNA, 253 nt
Filed under: uncultured bacterium
Lineage: Bacteria
Description: partial 16S ribosomal RNA
Rfam family: Bacterial small subunit ribosomal RNA
Source: RNAcentral